This 72-nucleotide transfer RNA is filed under the name Phycisphaerae bacterium. RNAcentral describes it as "tRNA-Thr". It matches the Rfam family "tRNA". Rfam says of the family: Transfer RNA (tRNA) molecules are approximately 80 nucleotides in length. Their secondary structure includes four short double-helical elements and three loops (D, anti-codon, and T loops). Lineage: Bacteria; Pseudomonadati; Planctomycetota; Phycisphaerae. The record is from RNAcentral.
GCCGCCUUAGCUCAGCGGUAGAGCAGCGGUUUUGUAAACCGCAGGUCGCGCGUUCAAAUCGCGCAGGCGGCU